GGAGUAUGUGGCUUAAUUUGACUCAACGCGGAAAAGCUUAUCUGGUCCGGACGCAGUGAGGAUUGACAGACAGUUUCAGGAGUGGUUCUUGGUAAACAAUUGAGAGAGUUGAAGUUCUUUCAUGAUCUUGUGAGAGGUGGUGCAUGGCCGUUCUUAGUUCGUGUAGUGAUAUGUCUGCCUAAUCGCGUCACGAUAACCUAUUGGUCGACAACCCAAUUAUCACAACUGCAGCAUAACUCCCCUUGGGUGGGCGAGGCUCUGUGUAGGAUAGACCUCUGAACAGUACGCAACGAACGCGAUCGUAAUCCCUUGUUGAGUGGCCAUCCUGUAAGCUGCUGGAUUAGGAACCCAGUGGUAUUAUCUCAGCCACAGAUUUUCUGGUUGUAAUGGGCCAGUUUUGAAACUCGGGGAACAUCUGUGACUUUCUUUCUUAACGCAGAGGAAGGUUAUGGCAAUAACAGG
This 462-nucleotide ribosomal RNA is filed under the name Globigerina bulloides. Its description in RNAcentral is "bacterial SSU rRNA". It matches the Rfam family "Eukaryotic small subunit ribosomal RNA", at positions 1178 to 1460 of the family's 1831-position model. Lineage: Eukaryota; Foraminifera; Rotaliida; Globigerinidae. The record is from RNAcentral.